UACGUAGGGUGCAAGCGUUGUCCGGAAUUAUUGGGCGUAAAGAGCUCGUAGGCGGUCUGUCGCGUCGGAUGUGAAAAUCCAGGGCUCAACCCUGGGCCUGCAUUCGAUACGGGCAGACUAGAGUUCGGCAGGGGAGACUGGAAUUCCUGGUGUAGCGGUGAAAUGCGCAGAUAUCAGGAGGAACACCGGUGGCGAAGGCGGGUCUCUGGGCCGAUACUGACGCUGAGGAGCGAAAGCGUGGGGAGCGAACAGG
RNAcentral lists this ribosomal RNA (253 nucleotides) under uncultured bacterium. RNAcentral describes it as "partial 16S ribosomal RNA". It matches the Rfam family "Bacterial small subunit ribosomal RNA", at positions 524 to 776 of the family's 1533-position model. The record is from RNAcentral.